AUUGAACGCUGGCGGCAGGCCUAACACAUGCAAGUCGAGCGGAUGAAGGGAGCUUGCUCCUGGAUUCAGCGGCGGACGGGUGAGUAAUGCCUAGGAAUCUGCCUGGUAGUGGGGGAUAACGUCCGGAAACGGGCGCUAAUACCGCAUACGUCCUGAGGGAGAAAGUGGGGGAUCUUCGGACCUCACGCUAUCAGAUGAGCCUAGGUCGGAUUAGCUAGUUGGUGGGGUAAAGGCCUACCAAGGCGACGAUCCGUAACUGGUCUGAGAGGAUGAUCAGUCACACUGGAACUGAGACACGGUCCAGACUCCUACGGGAGGCAGCAGUGGGGAAUAUUGGACAAUGGGCGAAAGCCUGAUGCAGCCAUGCCGCGUGUGUGAAGAAGGUCUUCGGAUUGUAAAGCACUGUAAGUUGGGAGGAAGGGCAGUAAGUUAAUACCUGGCUGUUUUGACGGUACCAACAGAAUAAGCACCGGCUAACUUCGUG
Molecule: ribosomal RNA, 484 nt
Filed under: uncultured bacterium
Lineage: Bacteria
Description: partial 16S ribosomal RNA
Rfam family: Bacterial small subunit ribosomal RNA
Source: RNAcentral